CUUUUAAAACCAUACGAAGUUCAGAGAAUCAUGUCAAAAAGACAAAAACUCUUCAACUUACAACAAAAGAGACCCCAUCUUUUCUUUGGUUUACCAUUACUGCUUCUAGCUUUCCCACGGCAAACGCUUUUGCUCACAGAAACUUACGAAAAUGACGUCCAACAACAAGGUUUCCAACUUCUUCAAACAAUAUCUUCCAAAACAUGGCAAGGAUGGACUGGGAAUCCCGGAUGCAUUUGUGGAACAUUUGAAUGGAUCUCCUAAAAAGGCCGUGCUUCGGAAUUGGAUGGGAGAAAUUUGGUAUGUGGAGAUAGGUUAUACUGAUGCUGAGAAAUCCCAGAUGCAUUCGUGGAAUGCUUGAAUGGAUUUCUGAAGAAGGCUCUGCUUCGAAAUUGAAUGGGAAAGCUGUGGCAUGUGGAGAUAGAUUAUACUGAUAAUGGGGUGUGUUUUCUAAAUGGGUGGCAGAAGUUUGUUGAAGAUACGGUAGUGAUCAAAGUUUUGAUGUUGAAGAUCUUUGGGAAAUCGGCAUGUGAGAAGAGAGAAAUAAAUAGCAAUGCUGGCAUUGAUGUAGAGGUUAAGAGGAAGGAGGAUGAUGUUAUUGAUGUUGAUGAUGAUAAAAGUGAUGAUUUUAUUGCAAAUGAGGAGGAGAAUAUAGAAGAAGGAGAAGAAGCAAGUAUGAAUCACCGAGCAAAACGAUCAGCAGAAAUAAAGGAGGAAUAUCCACAAAAAGGGCUGUUGUUGAACCUGGAGCAAAUGUGACAUCAGAAAUCACUUUCAGAUGCAAAAUCCUUUCUUCGUGUCAAAAUUAAGAAAGGGCCACAGGAACAAAUUUGUAAUGAUCUCAAUUCAUCUGUAACCAAUGCUAUGGUUAUAAUUACUUGUGAUUUUACGUGCCAUCCUUCUUUUUUCGUGGGCUUCUUUCAACUGGAACAUGUCAUGUUCUGCUUGAAACUCAAAACAAUUGGUCUGAAAUGAAUUGAAAUUUAUUGGGGUCACACCAUGAAUGCUAUCUUCCUUAUUAUACAGUAUGUUUGCUUAUGGUAGAAGUCUCUCUCAUGCAGCAUGUUCCAUCACGUCUUGAAAGAAUUUGGAUUAAAAUUAGCCGAAAUCAUUGCCUUUCAUGACAAGCACAGGCAAAUAUGGCCUGGAAAGGUUGUGCAUUCCUUGGGUGGUCGAACAUUGAUCAAUGGGUGGAGAGCUUUUAGUAGGUGGAACAAUGUGGACAAAGAUGAUCUUUGUAUUUGUGAAUUUCCGACAACAGAGGGGGAAGAGAGAGAUAUCAUAGAGGUGCAUAUUGCCCGGGGAUGUGGUUCAAGAAGCCGAACCAGAACCGAUCCAAAUUGAACCUUUGCAUUUAGCCUUAGUAAACUUUUCUAUGUCAAAAUGAGUUUAUGUUAUGUAUAUGAUAUGUUCUUAAGAACUAAAAGUAGACAAUGAACCGACUUUAGUGUGUUUCUGUAGGUGAAUGUUUUCUUAUGCAUUCCUCUUAAAUC
Molecule: RNA transcript, 1493 nt
Organism: Pistacia vera
Lineage: Eukaryota; Viridiplantae; Streptophyta; Magnoliopsida; Sapindales; Anacardiaceae
Gene name: putative B3 domain-containing protein At5g66980
Exons: 4
Source: RefSeq, a predicted model, not a curated record